RNAcentral lists this ribosomal RNA (483 nucleotides) under uncultured bacterium. Its description in RNAcentral is "partial 16S ribosomal RNA". It matches the Rfam family "Bacterial small subunit ribosomal RNA", at positions 28 to 507 of the family's 1533-position model. The record is from RNAcentral.
GACGAACGCUGGCGGCGUGCUUAACACAUGCAAGUCGAACGAUGAAGCGGGUGCUUGCCCUCGUGGAUUAGUGGCGAACGGGCGAGUAACACGUGAGUAACCUGUCCUUUUCUUUGGGAUAACGGCUGGAAACGGCUGCUAAUACUGGAUAUUCAGGCUGCAUCGCAUGGUGUGGUUUGGAAAGGUUUUUUCUGGGAUUGGGUGGGCUCGCGGCCUAUCAGCUUGUUGGUGGGGUGAUGGCUUACCAAGGCUUUGACGGGUAGCCGGCCUGAGAGGGUGGUCGGUCGCACUGGGACGGAGAUACGGCCCAGACUCCUACGGGAGGCAGCAGUGGGGAAUAAUGCACAAUGGACGAAAGUUUGAUGCAGCGACGCCGCGUGGAGGGUGUAGGCCUUCGGGUUGUGAAAUCCUUUUUCUCGCGAAAAAGGCACAGUUUUGGCUGUGUUGAUGGUAGUGGGGGAAGAAGCGCCGGCUAACUACGUG